Molecule: ribosomal RNA, 484 nt
Filed under: uncultured bacterium
Lineage: Bacteria
Description: partial 16S ribosomal RNA
Rfam family: Bacterial small subunit ribosomal RNA
Source: RNAcentral
AUUGAACGCUGGCGGCAUGCUUUACACAUGCAAGUCGAACGGCAGCGCGGGCUUCGGCCUGGCGGCGCGUGGCGAACGGGCGAGUAAUGCAUCGGAACGUGCCCAGUAGUGGGGGAUAGCCCGGCGAAAGCCGGAUUAAUACCGCAUACGACCUGAGGGUGAAAGCGGGGGACCGAAAGGCCUCGCGCUAUUGGAGCGGCCGAUGUCGGAAUAGCCAGUUGGUGGGGUAAAGGCUUACCAAGGCGACGAUCCGUAGCUGGUCUGAGAGGACGACCAGCCACACUGGGACUGAGACACGGCCCAGACUCCUACGGGAGGCAGCAGUGGGGAAUUUUGGACAAUGGGGGCAAUCCUGAUCCAGCCAUGCCGCGUGCGGGAAGAAGGCCUUCGGGUUGUAAACCGCUUUUGUUCGGGAAGAAAGCCUCUGGGCUAAUACCCCGGGGGGAUGACGGUACCGGAAGAAUAAGCACCGGCUAACUACGUG